This 107-nucleotide small nucleolar RNA is filed under the name Solanum tuberosum (potato). RNAcentral describes it as "Small nucleolar RNA Z279/snoR105/snoR108". It matches the Rfam family "Small nucleolar RNA Z279/snoR105/snoR108". From Rfam's summary of the family: This family includes the plant snoRNAs known as Z279, snoR105 and snoR108. All three are members of the C/D class of snoRNA which contain the C (UGAUGA) and D (CUGA) box motifs. The record is from Rfam by way of RNAcentral. Lineage: Eukaryota; Viridiplantae; Streptophyta; Magnoliopsida; Solanales; Solanaceae.
GGGAUAUGAUGAGUGGUCAAUACUCGCAUUAAAAUAUGUGAGAAGGGCGUUCAGGCUCAGCCUGGUUACGACAAUUUGGGCGCUCUCAAUUUUAUCAAUCUGAUCCC